Molecule: ribosomal RNA, 1392 nt
Filed under: uncultured bacterium
Lineage: Bacteria
Description: 16S ribosomal RNA
Rfam family: Bacterial small subunit ribosomal RNA
Source: RNAcentral
UUCGCCCUUAGAGUUUGAUCCUGGCUCAGGACGAACGCUGGCGGCGUGCUUAACACAUGCAAGUCGAACGAGGUGAGGGAAGGAGCUUGCUUCUGACCUGACCGAGUGGCGGACGGGUGAGUAACGCGUGAACAAUCUGUCUCAUACAGGGGGAUAACGCACCGAAAGGCGUGCUAAUACCGCAUAAGACCACAGCACCGCAUGAUGCAGAGGUCAAAGGAGCGAUCCGGCAUGAGGUGAGUUCGCGUCCGAUUAGAUAGUUGGUGAGGUAACGGCCCACCAAGUCAACGAUCGGUAGCCGACCUGAGAGGGUGAUCGGCCACAUUGGAACUGAGACACGGUCCAGACUCCUACGGGAGGCAGCAGUGGGGAAUAUUGGGCAAUGGGCGCAAGCCUGACCCAGCAACGCCGCGUGAGGGAAGAAGGUUUUCGGAUUGUAAACCUCUGUCCUUGAUGAAAAGUAGAAGAUGGUAAUCGAGGAGGAAGCCCCGGCUAACUACGUGCCAGCAGCCGCGGUAAUACGUAGGGGGCGAGCGUUGUCCGGAAUGAUUGGGCGUAAAGGGCGUGUAGGCGGCUUGGUAAGUCUGGAGUGAAAGUCCUGCUUUCAAGGUGGGAAUUGCUUUGGAUACUGUCGAGCUUGAGUGCAGGAGAGGUUAUCGGAAUUCCCGGUGUAGCGGUGAAAUGCGUAGAGAUCGGGAGGAACACCAGUGGCGAAGGCGGGUAACUGGACUGCAACUGACGCUGAGGCGCGAAAGUGUGGGGAGCAAACAGGAUUAGAUACCCUGGUAGUCCACACUGUAAACGAUGAAUGCUAGGUGUAGGAGGUAUCGACCCCUUCUGUGCCGGAGUCAACACAAUAAGCAUUCCGCCUGGGGAGUACGGCCGCAAGGUUGAAACUCAAAGGAAUUGACGGGGGCCCGCACAAGCAGCGGAGCAUGUGGAUUAAUUCGAAGCAACGCGAAGAACCUUACCAGGGCUUGACAUCCUACUAACGAAGUAGAGAUACAUCAGGUGCCCUUCGGGGAAAGUAGAGACAGGUGGUGCAUGGUUGUCGUCAGCUCGUGUCGUGAGAUGUUGGGUUAAGUCCCGCAACGAGCGCAACCCCUAUUGUUAGUUGCUACGCAAGAGCACUCUAGCGAGACUGCCGUUGACAAAACGGAGGAAGGUGGGGACGACGUCAAAUCAUCAUGCCCCUUAUGUCCUGGGCUACACACGUAAUACAAUGGCGGUCAACAGAGGGAUGCAAAACCGUGAGGUGGAGCGAACCCCUAAAAGCCGUCCCAGUUCAGAUUGUGGGCUGCAACCCGCCCACAUGAAGUCGGAAUCGCUAGUAAUCGCGGAUCAGCAUGCCGCGGUGAAUACGUUCCCGGGCCUUGCACACACCGCCCGUCA